GUGGAUUAGAUACCCUGGUAGUCCUAGCUGUAAACGAUGUGAACUUGGCGUCGGUGGUGUAAAAACCAUCGGUGCCGAAGCUAACGCGAUAAGUUCACCACCUGGGGACUACGGCCGCAAGGUUAAAACUCAAAGGAAUUGACGGGUCCCCGCACAAGCAGCGGAGCGUGUGGUUUAAUUCGAUGUUACACGAAGAACCUUACCCAGGUUUGACAUGCAGGUAGUAGGGAAGCGAAAGCAGACCGACCCGCAAGGGAGCCUGCACAGGUGUUGCAUGGUUGUCGACAGCU
Molecule: ribosomal RNA, 290 nt
Filed under: uncultured bacterium
Lineage: Bacteria
Description: partial 16S ribosomal RNA
Rfam family: Bacterial small subunit ribosomal RNA
Source: RNAcentral